This 164-nucleotide small nuclear RNA is filed under the name Carlito syrichta (Philippine tarsier). Its description in RNAcentral is "U1 spliceosomal RNA (ENSTSYG00000035296.1)". It matches the Rfam family "U1 spliceosomal RNA". From Rfam's summary of the family: U1 is a small nuclear RNA (snRNA) component of the spliceosome (involved in pre-mRNA splicing). Its 5' end forms complementary base pairs with the 5' splice junction, thus defining the 5' donor site of an intron. Lineage: Eukaryota; Metazoa; Chordata; Mammalia; Primates; Tarsiidae. The record is from Rfam by way of RNAcentral.
AUACUUACCUGGCAGGGGAGACACCAUGAUCACCAAGGUGGUUUUCCCAGGGCGAGGCUUAUCCAUUGCACUCCGGAUGUGCUGACCCCUGCAAUUUCCCCAAAUGUGGGAAAUUCGACUGCAUAGUUUGUGAUAGUGGGGUACUGCGUUCGUGCUCUCCCCUG